Sycon ciliatum is the source of this 1347-nucleotide long non-coding RNA. RefSeq lists it as uncharacterized. The record is from RefSeq and is a predicted model, not a curated record. The transcript is spliced from 6 exons. Lineage: Eukaryota; Metazoa; Porifera; Calcarea; Leucosolenida; Sycettidae.
AUUUGAUGGCUUGCGCGUGACAGCACGAGCCGAAUUUAUUGCCCGUGGAAGUACCCACGAUAGGAAUACACUGUUGGGAACAUGGUGGCGCCGCUGACGGUACCUAUGUAAGUGGAAUUACUUUAUUGGAAGUACCCACGACGGGGAAAAUAGUCUCUCUAGUAUUGUCGGUGAAUGGUGAUGGUGGUGGUGGCGAUGGCUACUUUCCUCUGCUCAGAGAGAACCCCUGCAUGUCCUUCGUCGUGAUGCGAAAGAGCAGUGGAUGCAGAAAAUGUCUCUACCUGCCAGGAUGGUAUAAGAGCACGAACUGAAUCACCUGUUGGUGCAGAAGGCUUGGAGGACUGCUUUUGAAACAGUUGUUCAAAUUUCCUGCACCUCUUCGUAGCCGUUGUCUGAUUGCUGCAUUCUGGGGAGACUGAAGUUAAGAAGCCCUCACCGAAACCAACACUACGUUGCUGUGUUGUUUUCUUCCAAGGUCGGGCACAGUAAAGGAGACGACUCUGUAUCAAGGCACUACCCAGAGGGAGGAUGUUGGCCUUCUCCUGAUGGGAAAAUGUCUUCUUUCUCAUGGCGUGGCCAGGACUGCACUGACCCUACCAUCCACUCUACCUCUCCGGAAAGGGACUUGACAACCAGUCAAGAUGGAUGUGCAGAGAUAUACCAGCGCUUCUAGCAUUAACUGCCAAUUUGCACUGACGCAGCAAGACUCCCAACAGUCAAAAAGAAUAAUAUAGACGUGCAGAAAAUGUAGGAGAGCGAUGACAUCAGAAGGACACUCUCAGGUUCAGGGUACCUGUACUGCCCCAAUAAAUUGGGUCAGAUCCCAAAACGAGGUUGGCCGAAGCAAAAAAAAUAGAAGAGCCUGCCUUGAAUUGAAUAUGAGGAAGAAGAAGAAGACAAAGAAAGAAAAAGAAUAGGAAUUUGCUUGUGUAAACUUUGUUUCCUCUGUCUAGGCUGCCAUCGCAUUAUAGCAGCCAACAGUGUGUGUGUGUGUGUGUGUGUGUGUGUGUGCGUGCGCGCGCGCGCGUGCGUGCGUGCGUGCGUGUGCGUGCGCGUGCGUAUGUGUGCAUAUGUGUGCAUAUGUGUGCAUAUGUGUGCAUAUGUGUGUGUGUGUUUGCGUCUGUGUGCACACGCUUGUGUGUGUGUGUGUUUGCAUGUGUGUAUAUUCUGCUAAUCUUGACUUAAAUUUCCACAUCUGGGCAUAUUGUGUUCUGCAUGUGAAUUUAUCUUCAUUAACUUGUGCACUACGUUCCUUUCUUCACGUUACGGCACUUUAGUAUCGUUUUACUUGAACAUCAUACUCUCGCCCAACUUUGUUUCACCAACAAAGGUUUAUUCUCCAAAGUA